Molecule: long non-coding RNA, 581 nt
Organism: Loxodonta africana (African savanna elephant)
Lineage: Eukaryota; Metazoa; Chordata; Mammalia; Proboscidea; Elephantidae
Exons: 2
Source: RefSeq, a predicted model, not a curated record
UAACCCCUUCCUCUCUGGCCUCAGUCCCAGAGAGGUAGAACUGAAUGAGUCCCCUUAUUCCUCCUUACUGUAUGAGGUUAAACCAAAGCCAAAGGAUACGCUGCAGGACAGAGCGGAAGUGCCCCACAGGGUUUCAAGGCUGUAAAUCUUCAUGGAAGCAGAUUCCUCCUGAGAGGAGAGGCUGGCUAAGAAAGCGAAGAAUCAAGAUCUAAGUCUCAAGAUCACACGGCUGGGGAGUGGUGAAGUAGAGACUUGAACUCAACUCUGCUUUCUGCCUGGGGCACCAGGGCCCUGCAGUCCCCCCAAUACUAUAAGGCCGUAGACUAGGAGUUCUCAAGCUUGAGCAUGCAGCAGGAACUCCUGGAAGACUUGUUAAACACAGAUCGCUGGGUCCCAUCCCCAGAGUUUCUGGUUCAGUAGAAUUUGCUUUUCCAACAAGUUCCCACGAGAUGCUGAUGCUGCUGGCCCAGGGACCAUAUUUUGAGCCAUUUCUGACAAAUAUAAAAUAGAUUCUUCCUUGAAGAAGCCUAAAUGACAAGACCUAAUAUGUAAAGAAAUAAAACCAACCGGAAUAUUUGCCA